The sequence is a small nucleolar RNA, 204 nucleotides long. Its record names the gene SNORA74. It matches the Rfam family "Small nucleolar RNA SNORA74". From Rfam's summary of the family: U19 belongs to the H/ACA class of snoRNAs. snoRNAs bind a number of proteins (including dyskerin, Gar1p and Nop10p in the case of the H/ACA class) to form snoRNP complexes. This class are thought to guide the sites of modification of uridines to pseudouridines by forming direct base pairing interactions with substrate RNAs. The record is from Ensembl.
CCCAGCGGUAGUCAGCAGUUCAGACCUGUACCGUGCCUGAACUAGUGUUACACUGCUGGAAAAGAAAGGCGCAGCCAGUUUGACUCUACCCAGAUGCUGCUGUUUUAGUGGUGUCUGAUUCUGAGUCAUGGCUGUGCUGUGUCCCCUCUGAGAGUUGAAUGUUCCCAAAUACACUGGGGCAUUCCUAGUCUGGGGACAAACAUU